GGGCUAUAGCUCAGCGGUGGAGCGCUUUACACAUGACCGAGAGUGUCUAUGGCUUGAAUCCGUAUAGUCCUA
RNAcentral lists this transfer RNA (72 nucleotides) under Diplazium zanzibaricum. RNAcentral describes it as "tRNA-Val". The record is from RNAcentral. Lineage: Eukaryota; Viridiplantae; Streptophyta; Polypodiopsida; Polypodiales; Athyriaceae.